Molecule: ribosomal RNA, 492 nt
Filed under: uncultured bacterium
Lineage: Bacteria
Description: partial 16S ribosomal RNA
Rfam family: Bacterial small subunit ribosomal RNA
Source: RNAcentral
AGUGAACGCUGGCGGUAGGCCUAACACAUGCAAGUCGAACGGCAGCACAGUAAGAGCUUGCUCUUACGGGUGGCGAGUGGCGGACGGGUGAGGAAUACAUCGGAAUCUACUUUUUCGUGGGGGAUAACGUAGGGAAACUUACGCUAAUACCGCAUACGACCUACGGGUGAAAGCAGGGGAUCUUCGGACCUUGCGCGAUUGAAUGAGCCGAUGUCGGAUUAGCUAGUUGGCGUGGUAAAGGCCCACCAAGGCGACGAUCCGUAGCUGGUCUGAGAGGAUGAUCAGCCACACUGGAGCUGAGACACGGACCAUAAUCCUACGGGAGGCAGCAGUAGGGAAUAUUGGACAAUGGGCGCAAGCCUGAUCCAGCCGUACCGCGUGUGUGAAGAAGGCCUUCGGGUUGUAAAGCCCUUUUGUCGGGAAAGAAGAGCAGCAGGUUAAUACCCCGCUGUUCUGACGGUACCCAAAGAAUAAGCACCGGCUAACUUCGUG